This 253-nucleotide ribosomal RNA is filed under the name uncultured bacterium. Its description in RNAcentral is "partial 16S ribosomal RNA". It matches the Rfam family "Bacterial small subunit ribosomal RNA", at positions 524 to 776 of the family's 1533-position model. The record is from RNAcentral.
UACGAACUGUCCUACCGUUGUUCGGAAUCACUGGGCUUAAAGGGCGCGUAGGCGGUCCGACAAGUCAGGGGUGAAAUCCUGCAGCUUAACUGCAGAAGUGCCUUUGAUACUGUCGGUCUUGAGGGAGAUAGGGGUGAGCGGAACUCACAGUGGAGCGGUGAAAUGCGUUGAUAUUGUGAGGAACGCCGGAGGCGAAAGCGGCGCACUGGAUCUCUUCUGACGCUGAGGCGCGAAAGCUAGGGGAGCAAACGGG